RNAcentral lists this ribosomal RNA (502 nucleotides) under uncultured bacterium. RNAcentral's name for it is "partial 16S ribosomal RNA". It matches the Rfam family "Bacterial small subunit ribosomal RNA", at positions 30 to 523 of the family's 1533-position model. The record is from RNAcentral.
AUUGAACGCUGGCGGCAGGCUUAACACAUGCAAGUCGAGCGGAGAUGAGGUGCUUGCACCUUAUCUUAGCGGCGGACGGGUGAGUAAUGCUUAGGAAUCUGCCUAUUAGUGGGGGACAACAUUCCGAAAGGAAUGCUAAUACCGCAUACGUCCUACGGGAGAAAAGCAGGGGAUCUUCGGACCUUGCGCUAAUAGAUGAGCCUAAGUCGGAUUAGCCAGUUGGUGGGGUAAAGGCCUACCAAGGCGACGAUCUGUAGCGGGUCUGAGAGGAUGAUCCGCCACACUGGGACUGAGACACGGCCCAGACUCCUACGGGAGGCAGCAGUGGGGAAUAUUGGACAAUGGGGGGAACCCUGAUCCAGCCAUGCCGCGUGUGUGAAGAAGGCCUUAUGGUUGUAAAGCACUUUAAGCGAGGAGGAGGCUACUUUAGUUAAUACCUAGAGAUAGUGGACGUUACUCGCAGAAUAAGCACCGGCUAACUCUGUGCCAGCCGCCGCAGUAA